ACGCUCGACACCUACGGGAGGCAGCAGUUGGGAAUAUUGGACAAUGGAGGAAACUCUGAUCCAGUGACGCCGCGUGAAGGAAGAAGGUCUUCGGAUUGUAAACUUAUUUUGUCAGGGAAGAAAAAAUGACUGUACCUGAAGAAAAAGCACCGGCUAACUACGUACCAGCAGCCGCGGUAAUCUGAGCGGGCUGGCAAGGC
This 200-nucleotide ribosomal RNA is filed under the name uncultured bacterium. Its description in RNAcentral is "partial 16S ribosomal RNA". It matches the Rfam family "Bacterial small subunit ribosomal RNA", at positions 328 to 539 of the family's 1533-position model. The record is from RNAcentral.